AUUGAACGCUGGCGGCAUGCCUUACACAUGCAAGUCGAACGGCAGCGCGGACUUCGGUCUGGCGGCGAGUGGCGAACGGGUGAGUAAUACAUCGGAACGUACCCUGUUGUGGGGGAUAACUAGUCUAAAGAUUAGCUAAUACCGCAUACGACCUGAGGGUGAAAGUGGGGGAACGCAAGGCCUAACGCAGCAGGAGCGGGCGGUGUCUGAUUAGCUAGUUGGUGGGGUAAAGGCCCACCAAGGCGACGAUCAGUAGCUGGUCUGAGAGGACGAUCAGCCACACUGGGACUGAGACACGGCCCAGACUCCUACGGGAGGCAGCAGUGGGGAAUUUUGGACAAUGGGGGCAACCCUGAUCCAGCAAUGCCGCGUGUGUGAAGAAGGCCUUCGGGUUGUAAAGCACUUUUGUCCGGAAAGAAAUCGCGCUGGUUAAUACCUGGCGUGGAUGACGGUACCGGAAGAAUAAGCACCGGCUAACUACGUGCCAGCCGCCGCGGUAA
RNAcentral lists this ribosomal RNA (500 nucleotides) under uncultured bacterium. Its description in RNAcentral is "partial 16S ribosomal RNA". It matches the Rfam family "Bacterial small subunit ribosomal RNA", at positions 30 to 523 of the family's 1533-position model. The record is from RNAcentral.